This 254-nucleotide ribosomal RNA is filed under the name uncultured bacterium. RNAcentral's name for it is "partial 16S ribosomal RNA". It matches the Rfam family "Bacterial small subunit ribosomal RNA", at positions 524 to 776 of the family's 1533-position model. The record is from RNAcentral.
GACGUAGGGGGCGAGCGUUGUCCGGAUUUACUGGGCGUAAAGAGCGCGUAGGCGGUCUGUUAAGUCAGAAGUGAAAUCUCCAGGGCUCAACCCGGAAACUGCUUUUGAUACUGGCAGACUGGAGUGUCGGAGAGGUAAUUGGAAUUCCCGGUGUAGCGGUGACAUGCAUUGAUAUCGGGAGGAACACCCAUGGCGAAGGCAGAUUACUGGCCGACAACUGACGCUGAGGCGCGAAAGCGUGGGUAGCAAACAGA